AAGGAAUUGAAGUGGCUGAGGUCUGCUGCUUUAUCUGCCGAGAAGGAAUAUGAACAGCUCCACAGAAAGCUGGAUGAAUUUCAGAAGGAGAGGGAAACUGAAAGGAGUGAGAAAAAGAAGCUUGAUGAAGAUCUUGUGGAGUUGAGUAAUACUGUUGAUGAGUUAACUUCUGCAAGUGGGGAGGCUGCAGUACAAAGACUGCAAGAUGAGAUCAAUGAUUCCAAGGCUAUUCUCAAAUGUGGAGUGUGUCUUGAUCGGCCAAAAGAGGUUGUAAUCACAAAAUGUUAUCAUCUGUUCUGCAAUCCAUGCAUCCAGAGAAACUUAGAGAUCCG
Molecule: unclassified non-coding RNA, 332 nt
Filed under: Hevea brasiliensis (rubber tree)
Lineage: Eukaryota; Viridiplantae; Streptophyta; Magnoliopsida; Malpighiales; Euphorbiaceae
Source: RNAcentral